Molecule: transfer RNA, 74 nt
Filed under: Ibalia leucospoides
Lineage: Eukaryota; Metazoa; Arthropoda; Insecta; Hymenoptera; Ibaliidae
Description: tRNA-Met
Source: RNAcentral
UUAAAAAUAAGUUAAUUAAACUAUUAGAUUCAUAACCUAACUAUAGAAAAUUUAUAUAAAUUAUUCUUUUUUAU